GGGGGUGCCCCGGUUUCGACUGGUGCGAUUCGGGGUAAGGGUUGCAGGUGGAGUGUCGAUCUCCUGAUUCGGCAAAACUUUAACUGCCAACAACGACAGUUACGAUUACGCUUUAGCGGCAUAGUCGCGUGGAACCGUUCCGCCGCCUUGAGGGACGGAUUCCGCGUCGCAACCGAGGCUGGCCAAGCAUCUUUUUUCGGAGAGUGUGCGGUAAGAAAUAUCCGGAAUACGGAGGGGACGCCUGCUGCGCAGCCAAGCUCCUCCCGACAACCCAAUGUGCAGCUAAACCUGUAGACGCUUUUGCAACGCGUAUUAGGACGCGGGUUCGACUCCCGCCACCUCCA
This 344-nucleotide transfer-messenger RNA is filed under the name Spirochaetia bacterium. It matches the Rfam family "transfer-messenger RNA". Rfam says of the family: Bacterial tmRNA, also known as 10Sa RNA or SsrA, is named for its dual tRNA and mRNA-like properties. Lineage: Bacteria; Pseudomonadati; Spirochaetota; Spirochaetia. The record is from RNAcentral.